UUUCACAAAUGAACUGGUUUGGCAAAUGAGGAACUGGACUUUACAUUUUUUGUUCAAUUUUAAUGAAAAUUAAACUUCAAUUGUGAAUUAAUUUUAAUUAGGAUAACUAUACCUAACUAGUGGCUAUUGUACUGACCGUAGCUCUAGGAUGUUUCUCAGACGACAAGAAUAAGUCUUCUGUAAUUUGAAAAAGAUACCAGGAAAUAUCCGUAGAGUCAAUUUAAAAUGAGA
This 231-nucleotide long non-coding RNA is filed under the name Bos taurus (domestic cattle). Its description in RNAcentral is "long non-coding RNA NONBTAT026236". Lineage: Eukaryota; Metazoa; Chordata; Mammalia; Artiodactyla; Bovidae. The record is from RNAcentral.